UUUCCGUAGGUGAACCUGCGGGAGGAUCAUUAAUGAGUAGUCAUGGGGUUCGAUGCUGGCAGCCAAUUUUUGGAUGCAUGUGCUUGCCCUAACAAUCAUCUUCCAAACACCUGUGCACAUUUUUGAGGGAGUCUUGAGUUGGUUGCCGCUCUUGGGUGAUUUUCUCACAUUCCCUUAAAUCAUUAUACGCUAUUAACAAUGUUGAACGUGCUCUGUGCCGCAAGGCUAUUAAUAUAAUACAACUUUUAACAACGGAUCUCUUGGCUCUC
RNAcentral lists this unclassified non-coding RNA (269 nucleotides) under plant metagenome. RNAcentral's name for it is "partial contains small subunit ribosomal RNA, internal transcribed spacer 1, and 5.8S ribosomal RNA". The record is from RNAcentral.